AUGUGGAAUGAGAGCCCCCUUGUCCCUGCUCCAUCCUGUGGGAUCCCCCAGGACUGGGGUUUGUGUGCGAGCACGGGAGGCAAGGCGAGGGAGCUGGGGACGGGUGAGCUCCUGGGGGGCGAGGGGGCGAGCAUCUCCAAGGCAGGGCGAGCAUCUCCAUGGCAGGGCGAGCAUCUCUGCAGGCAGGGCGAGCAUCUCCAAGGCAAGGUGAGCAUCUCUGCGGCAGGGCGAGCAUCUCCACGGCAAGGCGAGCAUCUCCAAGGCAAGGUGAGCAUCUCUGCAGGCAGGGCAGCAUCCCCGUGGCAGGGCUCUCCGGCCGCUAGGUGUCCUCCGUGGGCCGCACACGGGUGUCGGGGGCCCCGCGGGGAAUCCAGGGGCUCCAGAAACGUGGGGGUUUGGGCAAAACCCCCGGGACAGGACGGCAGCCCCCUCCCUCACCACCCUGCCCCGAGGCAGAGCUCUGCUCCCCCGGGGGCUGCACGGGGGGGGGACAUGGUGCUGAGCCCCCAGCUUUGGCUGUGGGGCGGACGCCUGGCUGCGUCCAUCCCUGGGGGUGCUGGUGGGAAGAGGAGAAAGGGUUUUUCCUGUGCCCCUAUGGAAAGCAGAGGAUGAGGCUGGAGCUUUGCAGGAUUCAUCUUCCCAGCCCGUGUGAGCUCUGCUAGGAAGUUAAAUGCAUCCCCUGCCAGCGAUGUGCGGCCAGCACAGGGAGAUGCUGAGCUCGCCCAGCACAGAAGGAGCAAAAAUACCUUUCCAUCCUGCACCCCGAGCCCCUGUCUGCCCCCCGGGGUCCCAAGCAGGGCUGGCUAGGUGACUCCCUGCGUGAUUAUUUGCAGCGGGUAGCCAGGGGCUGACAGGGUCCUCCUUCCUGCUGGGAAGCCCCAGAUGAUGGGAUGGGGAAGUUAGGUUUAUUCCUGAAAAUCCCAGCUCUCCCAGCCUUGUUUUUUCUCUCCUUAGAAGACCUUUUCCUUAAAUGUCCCAAAAAUAAUGCUCAAGAGUAAACGCUAUUGCCUCUGUAGGGUGUCAGCAGGGUAUUUCCCAAAGACCUUGCAGAACCCAGCUAGCGGCUUCCCCGUCAGCAUAUUCCCCCUCGCUGGAGCCAGCGAGUCCCCCCCGCACUAUCUUAUCAGCACACUCAUUAUACCCUCAGAAACACAGUGUAAACAUCGCCAGCAAACUGCACUCGAUGACAAUUUCCUUGCCAAAUAAGCCACUUCCCUGCUUGAGUGAUGGUUAUGAGAGAGGAUUUCUGUAACUGCUGCUGUUUGAACAAGUGCGAG
RNAcentral lists this long non-coding RNA (1277 nucleotides) under Anser cygnoides (Swan goose). RNAcentral describes it as "lncRNA (ENSACDG00005012353.1)". Lineage: Eukaryota; Metazoa; Chordata; Aves; Anseriformes; Anatidae. The record is from RNAcentral.